CUUAUCAUUUAGAGGAAGGAGAAGUCGUAACAAGGUUUCCGUAGGUGAACCUGCGGAAGGAUCAUUGUCAAAACCUGCUCUGCAGAACGACCCGCGAACACGUUUAUAAUACCUAAGUGGAGCGGGGGGCUUAUGCUCCCUAGACCCACUAAUGCUGAUGGGACGGACAGUGGGCUUCGCUCAAAUUGUCCGCUCAGAGGCACAAUAACCAACCCCGGCGCAGGUAGCGCCAAGGAAUAUGAACUGAAAAGAGCACGCUGCCACAGCCCCCGGAAACGGUGGGCCUUGGGCAUGCGUCGCGCUCUUUCAAAAAUCAAAACAACUCUCGGCAACGGAUAUCUCGGCUCUCGCAUCGAUGAAGAACGCAGCAAAAUGCGAUACUUGGUGUGAAUUGCAGAAUCCCGUGAAUCAUCGAGUUUUUGAACGCAAGUUGCGCCCGAAGCCUUCCGGUCAAGGGCACGUCUGCCUGGGUGUCACGCAACCGUUGCUCCUAACCCUUUCGACAAGUCGAUGGGCAUUGGGGCGGAUGUUGGCCUCCCGUGUGCUAUGAGGCAUGCGGCUGGCCCAAAAGCUUAGUUCUCGGCAAAGGUUGCCACGACAAUCGGUGGUUGUAAGACCCUCUGACACAGUCGUGCACGAUCAUAUGCCUUAUGGGGACCCAGAGACCCUGAUGCAGCCUUGAAGGCUUGCUCAAAUCGCGACCCCAGGUCAGGCGGGACUACCCGCUGAGUUUAAGCAUA
Molecule: unclassified non-coding RNA, 740 nt
Filed under: Mallotus japonicus var. oreophilus
Lineage: Eukaryota; Viridiplantae; Streptophyta; Magnoliopsida; Malpighiales; Euphorbiaceae
Description: partial contains small subunit ribosomal RNA, internal transcribed spacer 1, 5.8S ribosomal RNA, internal transcribed spacer 2, and large subunit ribosomal RNA
Rfam family: 5.8S ribosomal RNA (bases 321-476)
Source: RNAcentral